GACGAACGCUGGCGGCGUGCUUAACACAUGCAAGUCGAACGGAAGGGCCCUGCGUUUGUGGUGUUCUCGAUUGGCGAAGGGGUGAGUAACACGUGAGUAACCUGCCCUUGUCUUUGGGGUAACUUCAGGAAACUGGGGCUAAUACCGGAUAGCAUCUCCUGCUGCAUGGUGGUGGUUGGUAAGUUUCGGCGGUGGGGGAUGGACUCGCGGCUUACCAGCUGGUUGGUGGGGUAGUGGCUUUCCCAGGCUUUGACGGGUAGCCGGCCUGAGAGGGUAACCGGCGACCUUGCGACUGCGAUACGCAGCAGACUCGAAUGGGAGGCAACAGUGGGGAACCUGGCACAACGGCCGGAAGCCUGAGACGGCAACCCCGCGUGCGGGAUGACCGCUUUCGGGUUGAAAACAGCUUUCGCCUGUGACGAAGCGUGAGUGACGGUACCGAGUAAAGAAGCACCGGCUAACUACGUG
This 468-nucleotide ribosomal RNA is filed under the name uncultured bacterium. RNAcentral's name for it is "partial 16S ribosomal RNA". It matches the Rfam family "Bacterial small subunit ribosomal RNA", at positions 28 to 507 of the family's 1533-position model. The record is from RNAcentral.